RNAcentral lists this ribosomal RNA (497 nucleotides) under uncultured bacterium. Its description in RNAcentral is "partial 16S ribosomal RNA". It matches the Rfam family "Bacterial small subunit ribosomal RNA", at positions 28 to 507 of the family's 1533-position model. The record is from RNAcentral.
GAUGAACGCUGGCGGCGUGCCUAAUACAUGCAAGUCGAGCGAACGGACGAGAAGCUUGCUUCUCGGAUGGAAGCGGCGGACGGGUGAGUAACACGUGGAUAAGCUACCUAUAAGACUGGGAUAACUUCGGGAAACCGGAGCGAAGACCGGGUAAUAUUUUGAACCGCAUGGUUCAAAAGUGAAAGACGGUCUUGCUGUCACUUAUGGAUGGAUCCGCGCUGCAUUAGCUAGUUGGUAAGGUAACGGCUUACCAAGGCAACGAUGCAUAGCCGACAUGAGAGGGUGAUCGGCCACACUGGAACUGAGACACGGUCCAGACUCCUACGGGAGGCAGCAGUAGGGAAUCUUACGCAAUGGGCGAAAGCCGGACGGAGCAACGCCGCGUGAGUGAUGAAGGUCUUCGGAUCGUAAAACUCUGUUAUUAGGGAAGAACAUAUGUGUAAGUAACUGUGCACAUCUUGACGGUACCUAAUCAGAAAGCCACGGCUAACUACGUG